AUGAGUUUGUUAUGUUGGAACUGCCGGGGGGGACCGCGGACAGUUCGCGAGGUUUUGGCCCUCUCUAAAGCCAAUUCCCCGGGGCUUAUAUUCUUAUCUGAAACUAGACAAGCCUCAAGUAAGAUGGAGCGUCUUAAGUGGAGAUUACAGAUGAAGGGUUUUGCGGGGGUAUCGAGCCAGGGUCUGAGUGGUGGCCUGGCUCUGUACUGGGAUGAGAGU
This 219-nucleotide ribosomal RNA is filed under the name Triticum aestivum (bread wheat). RNAcentral describes it as "partial small subunit ribosomal RNA". The record is from RNAcentral. Lineage: Eukaryota; Viridiplantae; Streptophyta; Magnoliopsida; Poales; Poaceae.